Molecule: ribosomal RNA, 468 nt
Filed under: uncultured bacterium
Lineage: Bacteria
Description: partial 16S ribosomal RNA
Rfam family: Bacterial small subunit ribosomal RNA
Source: RNAcentral
GACGAACGCUGGCGGCGUGCUUAACACAUGCAAGUCGAACGGAAAGGCCCUGCUUUUGUGGGGUGCUCGAGUGGCGAACGGGUGAGUAACACGUGAGUAACCUGUCCUUGACUUUGGGAUAACUUCAGGAAACUGGGGCUAAUACCGGAUAGGAGCUCCUGCUGCAUGGUGGGGGUUGGAAAGUUUCGGCGGUUGGGGAUGGACUCGCGGCUUAUCAGCUUGUUGGUGGGGUAGUGGCUUACCAAGGCUUUGACGGGUAGCCGAGCUGGUAGGGCGACCUGCUCCGUCGGACCUGGGAUGCGGCCCAGCCUCCUACGGGAGGCAACAGUGGAGUAGAUUGCACAAGGGGCGGAAGCCUGAUGCAACACCGCCGCGUGCGGGAUGACGGCCUUCGGGUUGUAAACCGAUUUCGCCUGUGACGAAGCGUGAGUGACGGUAAUGGGUAAAGAAGCACCGGCUAACUACGUG